AAGGUCACGGCGGGAGGAGGCGCGCGCCUGCGACCCACGUCCAUCCAGCGGCCCGCGCCCCGGGCCCAGCUGCAGCCCGCAGUCCUUCCGCGCGGGAAACCAUGGAGGGAGUGAGCGCACUGCUGGCCCGCUGUCCGUCGGCUGGCCUGGCUGGCGGCCUGGGAGUCACGGCAUGCGCCGCGGCCGGCGUGCUGCUCUACCGGAUCGCACGGAGGAUGAAGCCAACGCACACGAUGGUUAACUGCUGGUUCUGCAACCAAGACACACUCGUGCCCUAUGGGAACCGUAACUGCUGGGACUGCCCUCACUGUGAGCAGUACAACGGCUUCCAGGAGAAUGGCGACUACAAUAAGCCAAUCCCUGCCCAGUACAUGGAGCACCUGAACCACGUGGUGAGCAGCACGCCCAGCCUCCGCGACCCCGCACAGCCACAGCAGUGGGUGAGCAGCCAAGUUCUGCUGUGUAAGAGGUGCAGCCACCACCAGACCACCAAGAUCAAGCAGUUGGCUGCCUUCUCUCCACGUGAAGAGGGCAGGUACGACGAGGAGGUGGAGGUGUACCGGCACCACCUGGAGCAGAUGUAUAAGCUGUGCCGGCCGUGCCAGGCGGCUGUUGAGUACUACAUCAAGCACCAGAACCGUCAGCUGCGCGCCCUGUUGCUCAGCCACCAGUUCAAGCGCCGGGAGGCCGACCAGACCCACAUGCAGAGCUUCUGCUCCUCCACAGUGAAGGCCCCGGCCCAGGUCAUCCUGCUCCGUGCCCUUGCCUUCCUGGCCUGCGCUUUCCUGCUGACGGCUGCGCUGUAUGGCAGCAGUGACCCCUUCGCCCCCGGAGCUACCCUGCCCUUGGCCCUGCCACCUGGUGGCAAUGGCUCUGCCACACCUAACAACGGUACUGCACCUGGGGCUGAGGGCUGGCAGCAGCUGCUGGAACUGCUGCCCGAACACGCGGCAGAGAAGCUACGCGAGGCCUGGACCUUUGGGCAGAACCAUCAGAUGGGCGUUGUGGUGUUGGGCCUGCUCACCUGCCUUCUGGCCAUGCUGCUGGCCGGCCGCAUCAGGCUCCGUAGGAUCGAUGCCUUCUGCACCUGCCUGUGGGCCCUGCUGCUGGGGCUGCACCUGGUGGAGCAGCAUCUGCAGGCUGCCUCACCCAGCUGGCUGGACACGCUCAAGUUCAGCACCACGUCCCUGUGCUGUCUGGUGGGCUUCACAGCAGCUGUGGCUACAAGGAAAGCAACAGGCCCACGGAGGUUCCGGCCCCGAAGGUCAGAGAAGCAGCCGUGACUUGAGGGGGGAGGACAGACGGACGGACAGGCCCAGGCUUUGCCCCAGCCCAGAACAGGGCAUCUCUCUGCCCUGCCUCUUCUUACUGCCUUGCUCCUACCCAGCACAGCCUAGAGCCCUAGGUCCUGGCCCAGCCCCUAUGCUGCCUUGAGGGAUUAACCUGCCCCCUUUUCCUUUCUGGUACCCCCAAACCACCCCCAGUGUCCUAUAGCUACUUACCACUGCCACCACCUCUCUGGCCAAAGACCUUUCACUGCCCCAGUGACCAGAAGUGGCAGCACCACACAGCCUGCCUCUGACAUGUGGCUUCCUGCCAGUAGCUCCACUCACUCAGACUCUGUUCACAGUCUGUCCUGGCUCUGACACCAUGGGGUGGGGUGCAGGGCUGUAGGCUGAGCCUUUGGUGCAUGCCACGACCACUCAGGCUGCUUGUCACAGCAGGUACUACUUAGCAGAGUGACAGGGGAGCAGAAACCCUCUACCCCCAUCCCUGCAUAGACCCUCUGGUGUGGUCUGUUCCCCUAUCCUCUGUCCCUGUGUAGAGUCUGUAGUCUGUCCCCCAUCCCCUGUCCCUGCAUAGACCCUCUGGUUUGCAUCCCUGUCCCCUGUCCCUACCUAGGCCCUCUGGUCUGGUCUGGCCCCUGUCCCUAUCCCUAUGUAGAUCUUCUGGUCUGAUCUGUUCUCGUCCCUCCAUAGACCCUGUGGUUUGGUCUACCCCCAUCCCUAUCCCUGCAUAGACCCUCUGGUUUGGUCUGCCCCCAUAUCCCCUGUUCCUACAUAGACCCUCUGGUCUGGACUAUUCCCCCAGUCCCCAUCCCUGCAUAGACCCUCUGGUCUGGUCUGCCCCCAUAUCCCCUGUUCCUGCAUAGACUCUCUGGACUGUCACCCUACUUACAUAGAGCCCCUGGUCUGCUCCCCUGUCCUCUGUACUUACAUAGACCCUCUCUGUCUGCUCCAUGGUACCCUGUGGUCCUGCCCAUUGUUGGGCCAGCCUUUUAGGAAGCGGUGGAACCACAGAGUCAGGGCUGCCCCUCUGGAUCCACUACGUAGGCCCCUGAGAUCCUGUCAUCCCUCAGGCUCCAUCCCCAGGAAUGGGUAGUCUGGUUUGACCAUGAGUUGUUGGUCAAGACCCCUCCCCAGGUAGACAGAAUAUCCUGCUUCUCCUUGUGGUCAUCAAGCUUCCUCUUUACAGGCUGUGAUGGGAGUUUGCCCCACCUACGGGGUCUGUGGACCAGGGAGAAAGAACUGGGGCGUGAGUGUUCUGCCCCAGAAAGGCAGAACCCCUUCCCUGUCAGCUGGGCCCCCGACUCAGUCCAGUGAGACUGAGGCUCCCGGCCGUGGCUCCCCCUCUGGCUGCCCACGUGGGGCUUGAAUGUUCGUCGGCCCUGUUCCCCCACAGGCCCAAGAUGUCCCCUUUCCUCCACUUACCCUGUAGAAUAAGUUCAGGUUCAGCACAGGUAAGGGGCCUGAGGGACACGUAGGCUGUCUUUGACACCAGACCACUAUCAUCUUGUCCCUCUCUGACCUGUCACAAGCUUCCCCCAGCCCCUGGCAGCAGCUUUUGGAGAAUGCCCAGACCCCUGCUCUGCAUGUCCAUGUGGGGCCACCACAGGGCCCUUGUGCCCCUCCCCCAAGUCAGACAGGGUGACCCCCAAAUGGGGGAGGGGUGCCCAGAGAUGGCUGCCUCCCAAAAUCACUCCCCAGAGGAGGCCACGAACCUGCUGGUCAGUAGCUGUGCACUCCGGGGCAGACCUUGCUAUUCCCAGCCUCAGCUUACCAUCUGGGGAGCGAGAGGUAGAUCUUUUCCAGGGUCCGUGGGCAUAAGGACUCUGUGACAUGGCAUAUAAGGACGCACUUUGAAAAUUGAGGUGCCAUCCACAUGCAAGGGAAGUUCCCAUCCUCAGGAGUACAGCCAGGGGUCACAGCCAAAGUGUGGACCCAGGCUUUCCCCGACCUGGCAUGUCGCCCCUUAGUGACCCCUCUGGGGCCCGGGUGUCCAGCCACUUAUAACUUGGAGCAGAAGCUUCCCAGCCCCAGGUGUAGCCCAAAGGAGGCAAAGAUGGAUGAGACACAUGUGAGGGUCACACCAACUCCAUGGGUCUGAGGGAACAGGUUGGUAGUUGCCCUGGUCAGCUCCUGUGUGGAGCCCUGCAGCGAGGUGGAGAGUGGUGCCCAGGCCCUGCCAUUGUGAAUCCACCACCUUUGAGGGUCCUAAGAGGCCACCCUCCCACCCUGAGCCCCAGUGAUUAGAUGACAGCUUGCUACUUGCUCGGCAUCCAUGUGGUAAGCCCAGGUGAGCUCUUAGGGCCCUGGGUGCCCAGUGAGCCUUGUGGCUUCGGACAAGGCCCUGAGCUUGUGGCUCAGCGUAGAGGGUGAGAUGAGAAGAUGGGGGCAGGGCUGGGAGUCCCACGGGUUCAGCAGUGAUGAGGGUUGGGGACAGGCCUAAGCAGCCUCAGGGUCUGGGGUCGCCUGCCUCUCCUUCCACCCCUGCCUCCCACCCCCCAGAAGGGCGUAAGAAAGACAAGGAGGUGACAGGUACCAGGCCAGGGAAGAGUAGUCUGUCUGCUGUGCUUGCCUUUGUGUGUAUCUCGACUCUCCUGUUCUCAAGGACAUUUUGACCACGUGAUGCUAAUUUCUGCUUUUCUUGGCAUUGGGUAGAAGGACAUUGUGUGUAUGUAUAUGUGUGUAUUUAAAUUAAAUUAUUUAUAAUAACUAGAACCAGCUCUUGCUGGCCAGAAUCCUCCUCUCCGCAGACAUCUCUCCUGCCCUGUGGUGAUGUAUGGAGGGUCAUCUCAUGAGAUGGCUGUCAUCAGAGCAAGGAUUCCUGGCCACCUGAGAGUUUUGUGUGACUUUAAAAAUACCUGUCUGUCCCUCGAAGUUUCAUUACUUGGAGAAAAUGCCAGCACCUUGUGACGUUACUGGCAGCAGCUGAGGGAGUAUGGGCAGUAUUGCAUUGUGGCUUGUGGCUGGGAAUGUGUCACUCCCGCCAGGGACUUCUCUCUCCCCAGCCAGGGUUGGCCCUCAGGGAUCAUCCUGAGUGCUAGGUGACUGUCCCUGAAACACAAGUGAGGUAGAUGCAGCCGUCUUCACUCUCUGGGUCUGAGGACCACACCUGGGCCAAGCAGGCUUCCCCAGGGACACUUACCUGGGGGCAGACUGCUAUGACACACCUGCCCCCCCAGCCCAGGAAGGAGCCUUUGUCCUCUCUGUCCGUGACUGUCACUGAGCCUCAUCUGUCUUGUUGUGUAGUAGAAUUAUGGAUAAUUGUCUAGUGACCCUCAAAACACUGUAACCACCACUCCUGGUGUAGACGUCGUGUUUUGGAUGCUGUGUUUUCAAUAAAUGCCUCCGGGGUCCUGCUUUUACCCGGCGGCGUCAGGUACCGCGUCUUUUUUCUUUUUUCUUCCUCACUUCAGGAGGGCUUCUGGGCCAGGCCUGGGGCGGGGGGCCUUCGGGCGUGUCCACAGGAGUCUGCAUGAGGAGGCGGGAUUGGGAGCUGGAGAUGAUGACGCCAGGCAGCUUGGGCCCAGCACUGCCUGCUGGCCUUGCCGAGUCACACUUUUCCUGUCUCAAUAAACUGCUGACUAAAACGUAGUCCUCUCCUUCCACUCUUGACUUGGACUGGGAUUGAGAUGGAGAAGACCAGACGUCUCCCCUCAGAAUCACUUCCCUGAGGUAGAAGCACAGGCUUGGAUUCUCAGCUUUUAAUCCCUCCGUGAGAUAAAGUUUGGGGUUGCAGGGCAGCCUGGGAGUCCUCUCACCAAAGGAAAUGUCAGUACCUUUGAAGUUCUCUGAAACUGUCAGAGAUUGGGUCUCCUUAAUUGGAGGGGAGACACUGGGGCAGGGCAGAGCUGUCUACCCCCACCCCAAGAACUCACUGGCACUGUAUGAGGACCUGUUCUUUGAGUGAUGUUACUGCGUUACCCAGCAUGAGGGGGUCAGGCUGCUGCAGAACUCCCAGAGCACCAACAUUUUUAGUGGCACUAAAAUUUGGAAACAGCACCUUGCUCAGGUAGCUGGGAAACCUGGGCUUAGAGCAUGGGGACAGCCCCAGGUGAGCAGGAGCUGAUGGGUGACAAAGCCUUGGCAAGGCCCAGUGGCUCCUGGAGCUGACCCUUGGGGCCAGGGGUUGCUGGGCCCAGCUGGGCACCUCUGAAGCCCAUAACCCAGCCAGCACCUUGUCCUCUCCUGUCCCCAGUCAGCUUGCCAGCUCCGCCCUUGGCUUACUCUUGGCCAGUGUGGGGCCAGCUGCUAUCUAUGACACCAGCCCUUCUCCCGCGGAGGGUCAUGUGUUGCCAGAGCAAGUUGUCCAAGGCUGCAGCUUUUCUUCCACUGCCCCUGGGGUACCUGAAAGUGUCCUCUGGAUCAUUUCCUAAGGUACUACCCAGGAGAUUCUGCCGGCCUCUU
Molecule: RNA transcript, 5690 nt
Organism: Nycticebus coucang (slow loris)
Lineage: Eukaryota; Metazoa; Chordata; Mammalia; Primates; Lorisidae
Gene: TMEM201
Gene name: transmembrane protein 201
Exons: 7
Source: RefSeq, a predicted model, not a curated record